Clostridium sp. CAG:62 is the source of this 89-nucleotide small RNA. It matches the Rfam family "GA-cis RNA". Lineage: Bacteria; Bacillati; Bacillota; Clostridia; Eubacteriales; Clostridiaceae. The record is from Rfam.
UGAAGGAGGCGCCGUUAUGGACGAAGUCCAUAAUUAAAAUCGGCGCCGACGACGUGCCGCCGAGCGAAGGCGAGGGGGCGAUACAUUGA